GAUGAAGAACGCAGCGAAAUGCGAUAAGUAAUGUGAAUUGCAGAAUUCAGUGAAUCAUCGAAUCUUUGAACGCACAUUGCGCCCCCUGGUAUUCCGGGGGGCAUGCCUGUCCGAGCGUCAUUACAACCCUCAAGCUCAGCUUGGUGUUGGGCCCCGCCGCCCCGGCGGGCCCUAAAGUCAGUGGCGGUGCCGUCCGGCUCCGAGCGUAGUAAUUCUUCUCGCUCUGGAGGUCCGGUCGUGUGCUCGCCAGCAACCCCCAAUUUUUUUCAGGUUGACCUCGGGUCAGGUAGGGAUACCCGCUGAACUUAAGCAUAUCAAUAAGCGGAGGA
RNAcentral lists this unclassified non-coding RNA (329 nucleotides) under soil metagenome. RNAcentral's name for it is "partial contains 5.8S ribosomal RNA, internal transcribed spacer 2, and large subunit ribosomal RNA". The stretch from base 1 to 120 matches the Rfam family "5.8S ribosomal RNA", at positions 35 to 154 of the family's 154-position model. The record is from RNAcentral.